Molecule: transfer RNA, 70 nt
Filed under: Diaphus theta (California headlightfish)
Lineage: Eukaryota; Metazoa; Chordata; Actinopteri; Myctophiformes; Myctophidae
Description: tRNA-Phe
Rfam family: tRNA
About the family: Transfer RNA (tRNA) molecules are approximately 80 nucleotides in length.
Source: RNAcentral
GCUAGCGUAGCUUAAACUAAAAGCAUGACACUGAAAAUGCCAAGAUGAGUCCUAGAAAAUUCCGCAAGCA